AGAAUCAACGCUGGCGGCGUGCCUAACACAUGCAAGUCGAACGAGAAAGUGGAGCAAUCCAUGAGUAAAGUGGCGACCGGGUGAGUAACACGUGACUAACCUACCUUCGAGUGGGGGAUAACCUCGGGAACCGAGGCUAAUACCGCAUAACAUCGCAAGAUCAAAGCAGCAAUGCGCUGGAAGAGGGGGUCGCGGCUGAUUAGCUAGUUGGCGGGGUAACGGCCCACCAAGGCGAAGAUCGGUAGCCGGCCUGAGAGGGCGCACGGCCACACUGGAACUGAAACACGGUCCAGACUCCUACGGGAGGCAGCAGUGGGAAUUUUGCGCAAUGGGGGAAACCCUGACGCAGCAACGCCGCGUGGAGGAUGAAGCCCCUUGGGGCGUAAACUCCUUUCGACCAAGACGAUAAUGACGGUACUGGUGGAAGAAGCACCGGCUAACUCUGCGCCAGCAGCCGC
Molecule: ribosomal RNA, 458 nt
Filed under: uncultured bacterium
Lineage: Bacteria
Description: SSU rRNA
Rfam family: Bacterial small subunit ribosomal RNA
Source: RNAcentral